This 74-nucleotide transfer RNA is filed under the name Candidatus Xenolissoclinum pacificiensis L6. It matches the Rfam family "tRNA". From Rfam's summary of the family: Transfer RNA (tRNA) molecules are approximately 80 nucleotides in length. Their secondary structure includes four short double-helical elements and three loops (D, anti-codon, and T loops). Lineage: Bacteria; Pseudomonadati; Pseudomonadota; Alphaproteobacteria; Rickettsiales; Anaplasmataceae. The record is from Rfam by way of RNAcentral.
GGGGUUGUAGUUCAGUUGGUUAGAACAUCCCGCUCAUAACGGGCAGGUCGUGGGUUCGAGUCCCACCCACCCCA